CGGGCUGUAGCGCAGCUUGGUAGCGCACCUGCUUUGGGAGCAGGGGGUCGCCGGUUCAAAUCCGGCCAGCCCGA
RNAcentral lists this transfer RNA (74 nucleotides) under Acidimicrobiia bacterium. RNAcentral's name for it is "tRNA-Pro". It matches the Rfam family "tRNA". Rfam says of the family: Transfer RNA (tRNA) molecules are approximately 80 nucleotides in length. Their secondary structure includes four short double-helical elements and three loops (D, anti-codon, and T loops). RNAcentral also lists the same sequence under 2 other names. The record is from RNAcentral. Lineage: Bacteria; Bacillati; Actinomycetota; Acidimicrobiia.